Molecule: ribosomal RNA, 638 nt
Filed under: Penicillium olsonii
Lineage: Eukaryota; Fungi; Ascomycota; Eurotiomycetes; Eurotiales; Aspergillaceae
Description: eukaryotic LSU rRNA
Rfam family: Eukaryotic large subunit ribosomal RNA
Source: RNAcentral
GGUUGACCUCGGAUCAGGUAGGGAUACCCGCUGAACUUAAGCAUAUCAAUAAGCGGAGGAAAAGAAACCAACAGGGAUUGCCCCAGUAACGGCGAGUGAAGCGGCAAGAGCUCAAAUUUGAAAGCUGGCUCCUUCGGGGUCCGCAUUGUAAUUUGCAGAGGAUGCUUCGGGAGCGGUCCCCAUCUAAGUGCCCUGGAACGGGACGUCAUAGAGGGUGAGAAUCCCGUAUGGGAUGGGGUGUCCGCGCCCAUGUGAAGCUCCUUCGACGAGUCGAGUUGUUUGGGAAUGCAGCUCUAAAUGGGUGGUAAAUUUCAUCUAAAGCUAAAUAUUGGCCGGAGACCGAUAGCGCACAAGUAGAGUGAUCGAAAGAUGAAAAGCACUUUGAAAAGAGAGUUAAAAAGCACGUGAAAUUGUUGAAAGGGAAGCGCUUGCGACCAGACUCGCUCGUGGGGUUCAGCCGGCAUUCGUGCCGGUGUACUUCCCCGCGAGCGGGCCAGCGUCGGUUUGGGCGGUCAGUCAAAGGCCCCUGGAAGGUAACGCCCCCUCGGGGGCGUCUUAUAGCCAGGGGUGCAAUGUGGCCUGCCCGGACCGAGGAACGCGCUUCGGCUCGGACGCUGGCAUAAUGGUCGUAAGCGACC